Molecule: long non-coding RNA, 1953 nt
Organism: Halichondria panicea
Lineage: Eukaryota; Metazoa; Porifera; Demospongiae; Suberitida; Halichondriidae
Exons: 3
Source: RefSeq, a predicted model, not a curated record
GAGGUCAGCCUGCCCACGAAAAUAACGAAUUUUUUACCCCACGAAACUUACCCGCUAUACGGUAUACACUGACUGGCAAAGCACUCUAAGUAAUAGUUAUUACAUGGCUAUGAGUGCCACAAGCUGUUUCUUGGCCCAGUAAGUAGAUUGUGAUCAAGGACCUUGACCCGGUAAGUAGAUUGUGGUAGAUUGUGGUAAAGGCCUGAGACUAUUAUCUACUUCAAGGGCUGCUUGUGGCACGAAUUGCCCUGUAAUAACUAAUUUGGAAAACCAUUUUCUGACAUAAGAAACCAGCAUAGAAACCACUUGCUGCAUAGAUGUGAAGUAGUGUUGUAGUUUUUGUUAUGUUUUUGGUGGAUUUACUUUUUAUUAAGGGUGCUGGAACACCUACGCCCACGUACGCCCACACACACGUUGCUAGGGAAAGCUAACUAUGAAACUACCUGCAGGGGAGACAUGGAUCCUUCACAGGAUUAUGAAGCAACACUCUACUAGUGUGCAUUCCAAAAAUGGAGAGGAAAGGAUGAUGACAACAGAUUUUACACUUGAUUUUCAUCAUAUAGCUAAAAGAAGUUCCGCUUAGGAAACCAGUAGAGCUAUGGACUUGAUUGUUUGUUUGCAGGUGCACUACACACAGCUCUUCAACAUUACGAAGAGCUUUUGUUGUAAAAUCCCUUUGUUAUCUAUUUAUGAGAAUUUUUUGUCAUGACACACCCUCUAGAGAAAAAUCUAGACCGUAUAUGGACAAAGUCAGCCCGUAACUUUGUUCACCUUACCUAAUUAUAGCAGCAUGCUAAAUAUAGACCAAGUCCUGUACGUAGAUAGUCAGAUCGAACACUUUUUAUAUCUGGCUCUAGCGUACGCGUACGCUAGAGUAUAAAUUAAGACGUAAGCCUGUAGACCACGCCCCAAUUGCGUGCGUAGAGUGCAGAAUUAGCGUUGAAGAUCAAGAGCCAUUUGUUAGUAGCCUGAAGAGAAGAGAUAGGCAACGCUGGGGCUACAGACAGCGCUGACAAUUGGCUGGCUCAUAGACUUCUGCCAGGGUUGGCUGCUGUUUUGAUGGACUUUGAAGAGCUUCCAUGAAAGCCUGUGUGUAAUACCACUCUUGGACCUCAGUGUCACCAGAGUGCUGUGCUCCAGGCCAAGUUGGACCAGUCUCUUUGUCUGGGCUGCAGUAAUGCUUGGCUUCCCCGGGCAUCAGAUUGGUGGAACCUCCGCUUUUGUGAGGUCCACACAGCUCCAUCUGCUUAUUAGCAGACCGAAUAGGGAGGUUGGGGAGGCAGCUGAUCAGUGAAUGGUGUGUCGUAACUGCCUCCAUCGCCAGGACAUCUGGAAAUGAGCUUCUGACCAUUCUGCUAACUUGGUGGCAAGGAUCUCCAGCUUCUGAAGGAUGCGAUGCCAUUGUGUGCUGGAACAUGGUGGAAGACCCAACCAGCCACUCAACCGGACGUAUCAACAUGCAGGUGGCCAUUGAGGAGAAAGGACAACACUGGAUUGUGCCAUGAACAGCUCGAAUCGUGGAUAGUACACGUCUAAAGCACUGAAGAGAAACGUCUCCACUCGACACAAAUGAAGACAGUGUGUAUUAACAUUAAAAGACAAUCCAACCUGCUGUGUGACUAAUGCUAGUUGAGGAACUCGGACACUCGUGCUGAUUGUACUGAGACUGGGGUCUAUUGGCACACUUACGUUUCUCCCAUCUACUACUGAAGGCACUCCUUUGCUACAAAUCUGGCUCUGUAUUUAUUGGAUUGUGUUAUUUUGUUAUAGUUUGUGUAGCUACCUGAUUUUCUUUUGCAGCUUGUAGUUAAUUUAAUUGAAGACAUUCUCACAAAACCACUAUGUUGUUACUUGUGGUUACUACUAUAUUAGCGCACGCAUUGAAAUUAAAUACUGCGUGUGCAAGUCUCAGGAUCUAAACGUUGCAUUUUUGUGGUUAAAUUAUGUCAAUUU